UGCGAAGGCAAGCGGAUCUCUUAAAGCCGUUCUCAGUUCGGACUGUAGGCUGCAACUCGCCUACACGAAGCUGGAAUCGCUAGUAAUCGCGGAUCAGCACGCCGCGGUGAAUACGUUCCCGGGCCUUGUACACACCGCCCGUCACACCAUGAGAGUCUGUAACACCCAAAGCCGGUGGGAUAACCUUUAUAGGAGUCAGCCGUCUAAGGUAGGACAGAUGAUUAGGGUGAAGUCGUAACAAGGUAUC
This 247-nucleotide ribosomal RNA is filed under the name uncultured bacterium. RNAcentral describes it as "partial 16S ribosomal RNA". It matches the Rfam family "Bacterial small subunit ribosomal RNA", at positions 1256 to 1500 of the family's 1533-position model. The record is from RNAcentral.